Molecule: unclassified non-coding RNA, 148 nt
Organism: Pongo abelii (Sumatran orangutan)
Lineage: Eukaryota; Metazoa; Chordata; Mammalia; Primates; Hominidae
Rfam family: Metazoan signal recognition particle RNA
About the family: The signal recognition particle (SRP) is a universally conserved ribonucleoprotein. It is involved in the co-translational targeting of proteins to membranes.
Source: Ensembl
GCCAGGCAUGGUGGUGCGUGCCUGUAGUUCUAGCUACUCGGGAGGCUGAGGUGGGAGGAUUGCUUGAGCCUAGGAGUUCAAGGCUGUAGUGAGCUAUGAUCAUGCCACUACAUUCCAGCCUGUGUGACAGAGCAAGACUCCAUUUCUU